RNAcentral lists this long non-coding RNA (991 nucleotides) under Olea europaea subsp. europaea. Lineage: Eukaryota; Viridiplantae; Streptophyta; Magnoliopsida; Lamiales; Oleaceae. The record is from RNAcentral.
GUGACAAAUGACCAUUAUUUUAUUCUUUUUCAUACGAAGAAUGAAGUACUAAUUGUCCUAGAAGUCAGUAAAUUAAGGGCACGGUAUCCUACACCAAUAGGAAAGUUUCCUCGUGAGAAUAUCCUCACAAAUGACGACACUCAAAGUAGUCCACUUAACCACUACAACCACAUCACAGUUCCACUCUUGCUUCAACACAUCUUUCUCUUUACUCUCUAUUCUCCCCAAGAAUAAAUUCCCUCCCUGUCCUAGGCCCUUCUCUAUCUCCUUCAGGUAUCUCUCCCCCACCCGCCCCCAACCUUCCCCAGUCCACUAGCUAUAUGUAAUUAUAUGUAUUUGUGUAUUUAUGAUGUAUCGUAUUAUAAUUUGUAAAUUGGGUUGAUUUGUAUUUUGUGAUUUUGAUUUGAUUAGUUAAUAACCCAUUCGAAUUAGCAAAUUUCUAUGCAUUAUUUAUGUGGGUUUUUUUCCCUUCCCUUUUUUGUUUUUUGUAGGAGAGUUGACUUUUAAUUAGCUUUAUAGUAUAAACUUGGAGUGAAGUUGGAUUAUUUUGAAACGAUGCUGUAAGAAAAUAUAAAUUCUGAAUAUUGUUUGCCCACGGGCUCGUUUUAUUUUAGUAAUAUUGAGUUGAAUUUCAAAUCACUUCAUUGCUAUUUGGAAGGAAAUUGAUGAGCUAGACAAACUAAAUUCAGGAUCUUGAUAUACACGUAUAGCAGUUAGUACCGGAAGCAUAAUAUUUUCAUCUACUUUUGAUCAUUAGAGCAGUGCUAAAGUUAUAAUUAGGAAACAUAUAGUGUUUCAAUUAUUUUCUGCCUUCCGAAUUUGACUGUACUUAAUGUUUGCUUGCUUCAGAAUUUGGCGAUGAGUGGAGAUUCCAUAAUAUUCCAAGUUUUUUAGAUGGAAAGUAAUUUCUCAUGGAUGUGCUGUUAUUUAUACAUUUGUUGAAUAUGGAUUCGAUUUUUCAUUGUGUUUACUUUCAUAAUUUCAAAUUAAC